AUCUGGAAAAGAUCAAUCUUUUUUGGUUAGGAGACUGUGAGAAAGAAGAGACAUUGGGGGAUGCAUGCAGAAGAAAGAACAGGCAGUUAUUGCGUGCUCACCAAGUUCACCAGGAAUUUUCUGUAAAGAAACAGAUAAGAGAAUUCAUCAUAAUCUUAAGGAUCUCACAGUCUAAUGAAAGAGAGAUGAGAAAACAGUUGCUAUAGAGCACAGUUGUCUAUGGAGAACUGAAAUGGACUGUGU
Long non-coding RNA from Mustela erminea (ermine), 243 nucleotides. RefSeq lists it as uncharacterized. The transcript has 3 exons. The record is from RefSeq and is a predicted model, not a curated record. Lineage: Eukaryota; Metazoa; Chordata; Mammalia; Carnivora; Mustelidae.